CAGGAAAUAUUUUAAUUAAAUUUUCACCUUUGGGUGUGGAUGGUGAGGGGGGGGGGGUUCUUCCUCG
Molecule: transfer RNA, 67 nt
Filed under: Equus caballus (horse)
Lineage: Eukaryota; Metazoa; Chordata; Mammalia; Perissodactyla; Equidae
Description: transfer RNA-Pro
Source: RNAcentral